This 497-nucleotide ribosomal RNA is filed under the name uncultured bacterium. RNAcentral's name for it is "partial 16S ribosomal RNA". It matches the Rfam family "Bacterial small subunit ribosomal RNA", at positions 28 to 507 of the family's 1533-position model. The record is from RNAcentral.
GACGAACGCUGGCGGCGUGCCUAAUACAUGCAAGUCGAGCGAUGAAGAUUGGUGCUUGCACCAAUUUGGAGAGCAGCGAACAGGUGAGUAACGCGUGGGGAAUCUGCCUUUGAGCGGGGGACAACAUUUGGAAACGAAUGCUAAUACCGCAUAACAACUUUAAACAUAAGUUUUAAGUUUGAAAGAUGCAAUUGCAUCACUCAAAGAUGAUCCCGCGUUGUAUUAGCUAGUUGGUGAGGGAAAGGCCCACCAAGGCGAUGAUACAUAGCCGACCUUAGAGGGGGGUCGGCCACCUUUGGACUGGGACCCGGCCCAAGCUCCUGCGGGAGGCCGCCGUAGGGAAUCUUCGGCAAUGGACGAAAGUCUGACCGGGCAACGCCGCGGGAGUGAAGAAGGUUGUCGGAUCGUAAAACUCUGUUGGUAGAGAAGAACGUUGGUGGGAGUGGAAUGCUCAUCAAGUGACGGUAACUACCCAGAAAGCGACGGCUAACUACGUG